CACGCCGUAAACGAUGAGUGCUAGGUGUUAGGGGGUUUCCGCCCCUUAGUGCUGAAGUUAACGCAUUAAGCACUCCGCCUGGGGAGUACGGCCGCAAGGCUGAAACUCAAAAGAAUUGACGGGGGCCCGCACAAGCGGUGGAGCAUGUGGUUUAAUUCGACGCAACGCGAAGAACCUUACCAGGUCUUGACAUCCUCUGCAAUCGGUAGAGAUACCGAGUUCCCUUCGGGGACAGAGUGACAGGUGG
Molecule: ribosomal RNA, 247 nt
Filed under: uncultured Virgibacillus sp.
Lineage: Bacteria; Bacillati; Bacillota; Bacilli; Caryophanales; Bacillaceae
Description: partial 16S ribosomal RNA
Rfam family: Bacterial small subunit ribosomal RNA
Source: RNAcentral